Molecule: ribosomal RNA, 608 nt
Filed under: uncultured bacterium
Lineage: Bacteria
Description: bacterial SSU rRNA
Rfam family: Bacterial small subunit ribosomal RNA
Source: RNAcentral
CUCAGGACGAACGCUGGCGGCGUGCCUAAUACAUGCAAGUCGAACGGAGAUAUUCGCUGAUGAAGUACUUCGGUAAUGAAUCUUGGAUAUCUUAGUGGCGGACGGGUGAGUAACGCGUGAGCAACCUGCCUUUCAGAGGGGGAUAACGUUUGGAAACGAACGCUAAUACCGCAUGACAUUAUCUUAUCGCAUGGUAGGAUAAUCAAAGGAGCAAUCCGCUGAAAGAUGGGCUCGCGUCCGAUUAGGUAGUUGGUGGGGUAACGGCCCACCAAGCCGACGAUCGGUAGCCGGACUGAGAGGUUGGACGGCCACAUUGGGACUGAGACACGGCCCAGACUCCUACGGGAGGCAGCAGUAAGGGAUAUUGGUCAAUGGGGGAAACCCUGAACCAGCAACGCCGCGUGAGGGAAGACGGUUUUCGGAUUGUAAACCUCUGUCCUCUGUGAAGAUGAUGACGGUAGCAGAGGAGGAAGCUCCGGCUAACUACGUGCCAGCAGCCGCGGUAAUACGUAGGGAGCGAGCGUUGUCCGGAUUUACUGGGUGUAAAGGGUGCGUAGGCGGCUUGGCAAGUCAGUAGUGAAAUCCAUGGGCUUAACCCAUGAACUGCU